Molecule: ribosomal RNA, 492 nt
Filed under: uncultured bacterium
Lineage: Bacteria
Description: partial 16S ribosomal RNA
Rfam family: Bacterial small subunit ribosomal RNA
Source: RNAcentral
AGUGAACGCUGGCGGUAGGCCUAACACAUGCAAGUCGAACGGCAGCACAGUAAGAGCUUGCUCUUACGGGUGGCGAGUGGCGGACGGGUGAGGAAUACAUCGGAAUCUACUUUUUCGUGGGGGAUAACGUAGGGAAACUUACGCUAAUACCGCAUACGACCUACGGGUGAAAGCAGGGGAUCUUCGGACCUUGCGCGAUUGAAUGAGCCGAUGUCGGAUUAGCUAGGUGGCGGGGUAAAGGCCCACCAAGGCGACGAUCCGUAGCUGGUCUGAGAGGAUGAUCAGCCACACUGGAACUGAGACACGGUCCAGACUCCUACGGGAGGCAGCAGUGGGGAAUAUUGGACAAUGGGCGCAAGCCUGAUCCAGCCAUACCGCGUGGGUGAAGAAGGCCUUCGGGUUGUAAAGCCCUUUUGUUGGGAAAGAAAAGCAGCAGGUUAAUACCCCGCUGUUCUGACGGUACCCAAAGAAUAAGCACCGGCUAACUUCGUG